This 29-nucleotide small RNA is filed under the name Bombyx mori (domestic silkworm). RNAcentral describes it as "ovarian small RNA-7182". The record is from RNAcentral. Lineage: Eukaryota; Metazoa; Arthropoda; Insecta; Lepidoptera; Bombycidae.
UCCAGCAACACGAUGGGGCGAUAGCCCGC